GACGAACGCUGGCGGCGUGCUUAACACAUGCAAGUCGAACGGAAAGGCCUCUUUCGGGGGGUACUCGAGUGGCGAACGGGUGAGUAACACGUGAGUAACCUGCCCUUGACUUUGGGAUAACUUCAGGAAACUGGGGCUAAUACCGGAUAGGAGCUCCUGCUGCAUGGGGGGGGUUGGAAAGUUUCGGCGGUUGGGGGUGGACUCGCGGCGUAUUCGCUUGUUGGUGGGGGAGUGGCUUACCAAGGCCUUGACGGGUAGCCGGCCUGGGAGGGUGACCGGCCACAUUGGGGCUGGGGAUCGGCCCCGACUCCUACGGGGGGCAGCAGGGGGGAAAAUUGCCCAAUGGGGGGGAGCCUGAUGCAGCAACGCCGGGUGCGGGAUUACGGCCUUCGGGUUGUAAACCGCUUUCGCUCAUGACGAAGCUUUGUGUGACGGUAGUGGGUAAAGAAGCACCGGCUAACUACGUG
RNAcentral lists this ribosomal RNA (467 nucleotides) under uncultured bacterium. RNAcentral's name for it is "partial 16S ribosomal RNA". It matches the Rfam family "Bacterial small subunit ribosomal RNA", at positions 28 to 507 of the family's 1533-position model. The record is from RNAcentral.